GGGGAAUAUUGCACAAUGGGCGCAAGCCUGAUGCAGCCAUGCCGCGUGUAUGAAGAAGGCCUUCGGGUUGUAAAGCUCUGUCCUCAAGGAAGAUAAUGACGGUACUUGAGGAGGAAGCCCCGGCUAACUACGUGCCAGCAGCCGCGGUAAUACGGAGGGUGCAAGCGUUAAUCGGAAUUACUGGGCGUAAAGCGCACGCAGGCGGUUUGUUAAGUCAGAUGUGAAAUCCCCGGGCUCAACCUGGGAACUGCAUCUGAUACUGGCAAGCUUGAGUCUCGUAGAGGGGGGCAGAAUUCCAGGUGUAGCGGUGAAAUGCGUAGAGAUCUGGAGGAAUACCGGUGGCGAAGGCGGCCCCCUGGACGAAGACUGACGCUCAGGUGCGAAAGCGUGGGGAGCAAACAGG
This 403-nucleotide ribosomal RNA is filed under the name uncultured bacterium. RNAcentral's name for it is "bacterial SSU rRNA". It matches the Rfam family "Bacterial small subunit ribosomal RNA", at positions 356 to 776 of the family's 1533-position model. The record is from RNAcentral.